RNAcentral lists this ribosomal RNA (341 nucleotides) under uncultured bacterium. Its description in RNAcentral is "bacterial SSU rRNA". It matches the Rfam family "Bacterial small subunit ribosomal RNA", at positions 113 to 452 of the family's 1533-position model. The record is from RNAcentral.
ACGCGUAUGCAACCCUACCUUUCACAGGGGGAUAGCCCGAAGAAAUUUGGAUUAAUACCCCAUAAUAUUAUUGGAUGGCAUCAUUUGAUAAUUAAAACUGCGGUGGUGAAAGAUGGGCAUGCGUCCUAUUAGCUAGUUGGAGUGGUAACGGCACCCCAAGGCUACGAUAGGUAGGGGUCCUGAGAGGGAGAUCCCCCACACUGGUACUGAGACAGGGACCAGACUCCUACGGGAGGNAGCAGUGAGGAAUAUUGGUCAAUGGUCGGAAGACUGAACCAGCCAUGCCGCGUGCAGGAAGAAUGCCUUAUGGGUUGUAAACUGCUUUUAUAUGGGAAGAAUAC